Molecule: ribosomal RNA, 121 nt
Organism: Pan paniscus (pygmy chimpanzee)
Lineage: Eukaryota; Metazoa; Chordata; Mammalia; Primates; Hominidae
Source: Ensembl
UUCUUGUGAGAUCCCUCUAAGAGGGUUCAUGGUGAUCUCUCAUCUGAUCUCAGAAGCUAAGCAGGGUUGGGCCUGGUUAGUACUUGGAUGGGAGACCAAAAUGAACUGGAUUCAGUUGUGA